This 287-nucleotide ribosomal RNA is filed under the name uncultured bacterium. RNAcentral's name for it is "partial 16S ribosomal RNA". It matches the Rfam family "Bacterial small subunit ribosomal RNA", at positions 53 to 339 of the family's 1533-position model. The record is from RNAcentral.
ACAUGCAAGUCGAACGGACGAUGAAGAGCUUGCUCUUCAGAGUUAGUGGCGGACGGGUGAGUAACGCGUGGGUAACCUGCCUCAUACAGGGGGAUAACCGGGAGAAAUUCCGACUAAUACCGCAUACGUCCUCCGGGGGCAUCCCCGGGGGAUGAAAGAAUUAUCGGUGAAGGAUGGGCAUGCGUGAUAUUAGGUAGUUGGCGGGGCAACGGCCCACCAAGCCCACGAUAUCUAGGGGUUCUGAGAGGAAGGUCCCCACAUUGGUACUGAGACACGGACCAAACUCC